UACGUAGGUGGCAAGCGUUGUCCGGAUUUACUGGGCGUAAAGAGCGCGCAGGCGGUCGAUUAAGUCGAGUGUGAAAGCCCCCGGCUCAACUGGGGAGGGUCACUUGAUACUGGUCGACUCGAAGGCAGGAGAGGGAAGUGGAAUUCCCGGUGUAGUGGUGAAAUGCGUAGAUAUCGGGAGGAACACCAGUGGCGAAGGCGACUUCCUGGCCUGUUCUUGACGCUGAGGCGCGAAAGCUAGGGGAGCAAACGGG
Molecule: ribosomal RNA, 253 nt
Filed under: uncultured bacterium
Lineage: Bacteria
Also listed under: 1 other name
Description: partial 16S ribosomal RNA
Rfam family: Bacterial small subunit ribosomal RNA
Source: RNAcentral